RNAcentral lists this ribosomal RNA (428 nucleotides) under uncultured bacterium. RNAcentral's name for it is "bacterial SSU rRNA". It matches the Rfam family "Bacterial small subunit ribosomal RNA", at positions 355 to 776 of the family's 1533-position model. The record is from RNAcentral.
UCGAGAAUCUUUCACAAUGGGGGCAACCCUGAUGGAGCGACGCCGCGUGGAGGAUAAGGUCUUCGGAUUGUAAACUCCUGUCAUGCGAGAACAAGGUACCCAGGUUAAUAACCUGGUUGUUUGAUGGUACCGCAAGAGGAAGAGACGGCUAACUCUGUGCCAGCAGCCGCGGUAAUACAGAGGUCUCAAGCGUUGUUCGGAAUCACUGGGCGUAAAGGGUGCGUAGGCUGCGCCGUAAGUCAGAUGUGAAAGCUCAGGGCUCAACCCUGAAAUUGCAUCCGAUACUGCGGUGCUCGAGAAAUGAAGAGGAGUCUAGAAUUUUCGGUGUAGCAGUGAAAUGCGUAGAUAUCGAAAGGAAUACCAAGGGCGAAGGCAGGACUCUGGGCAUUUUCUGACGCUGAUGCACGAAGGCCAGGGUAGCGAACGGG